This 1005-nucleotide long non-coding RNA is filed under the name Dromaius novaehollandiae (emu). RNAcentral describes it as "lncRNA (ENSDNVG00000010522.1)". Lineage: Eukaryota; Metazoa; Chordata; Aves; Casuariiformes; Dromaiidae. The record is from RNAcentral.
AUGGAGAAGCCAGUGGGACCUGCUGGGUCCCCUGACAUGUUGCUUCCCGCUUGCCAGAGGGCAAGAUGGGGGUCCAUCCCGGGCCACCGACCGCUGCAAAGCUUGCGGCCAACCUGCGAGGCGAAGAACGCGCCCGCGCGUGUCAGCCGGAGCAGCCGGCGGCGGAGAGCGAGGGAUUUGGGGAGGCAGAGCUGUCUCUUUAAGGCAGCAAAGGGAACUCUCCGGCUGCCACUUUGCGGAGUUCAGAGCAGAUCCCCGUUUUCAUUAGCAUUUCAUCUCAUCUCCUCCUCUCCCCCCCGCRCCCGCCCCACCUCUUCCGAAUCGGCAUUCCUGCAUCCCUUUCCGUGCAUCCCGGAGGAGCGGGUGAGAGUCCRGCUGGCGCCCGCAGGCACACGCGCCCGCGCCGAGCUGGCUGGGGAGAAACACCUGCGGGCGGCUGCCCACGCUCCCGCGUGCUGCGUCCCCCUCGCCGCACGCGAGCUCGGCUGGGAGUGUCCCCGCGCUCGCCUCGGCGCUGCUCCGCUCUUCUCGCGGUCCCUGGCUGCAGCGGCAGCCGAGCUCGGGCACGGAGCAGCUCGAGGGGCCCCGGCGCCCCGGGGGACGGAGCCCUGCAGGUUGGAAAGCCGGGCUGGGGGAGGCGAGAGCCGAGCAGCCCGGGGACCGGAGCACCGCCGGCAUCCAGAGCAUCCCUGGCAUCCAGAGCAUCCCCGGGACUGGAGCAUCCCUAGUGUCCGGAGCAUCCAGAGCAUCCUGGGGACCAGAGCAUCCCAGGAACCAGAGCAUCCCAGGAACCAGAGCAUCCCGGGACCGGAGCAUCCCGAGACCAGAGCAUCCCGAGACCAGAGCAUCCCGGGACCGGAGCAUCCCGGGACCAGAGCAUCCCAGGACCAGAGCAUCCAGAGCAUCGUGGCAUCCCGAACGCUGCACCAUCCUGAGCAUCCCGAGCAUCCUGAGCAUCCCAGGCAUCCCGAGCGUGGCGGCUCCCUAAGCAUCGUGGCAUCCUGA